This 260-nucleotide ribosomal RNA is filed under the name uncultured prokaryote. Its description in RNAcentral is "partial 16S ribosomal RNA". It matches the Rfam family "Bacterial small subunit ribosomal RNA", at positions 524 to 784 of the family's 1533-position model. The record is from RNAcentral.
UACGUAGGGUGCGAGCGUUGUCCGGAAUUAUUGGGCGUAAAGAGUUGUAGGCGGUUUGUCGCGUCUGCUGUGAAAAUCCGGGGCUCAACCCCGGACUUGCAGUGGGUACGGGCAGACUAGAGUGUGGUAGGGGAGACUGGAAUUCCUGGUGUAGCGGUGAAAUGCGCAGAUAUCAGGAGGAACACCGAUGGCGAAGGCAGGUCUCUGGGCCACUACUGACGCUGAGAAGCGAAAGCAUGGGGAGCGAACAGGAUUAGAUA